RNAcentral lists this long non-coding RNA (512 nucleotides) under Mytilus galloprovincialis (Mediterranean mussel). The record is from RNAcentral. Lineage: Eukaryota; Metazoa; Mollusca; Bivalvia; Mytilida; Mytilidae.
AAAAAUUAGGGGGGUCGGCCUAUUCCAGGACUUCUAGAGAAAAAUAAUGAGGGGUGUCACGGGAUAUGACUAUAUAGGUCUUGUAGAGGAGAAACAGGCGCUUCUUUUGCGCUAGGUAUCGAAGGGCGCUAUGUUCAAAAAUCUGAAACUAGAGCUCAAAAAUUUGAAAAAAAUGUCAAAAAAUUAGGGGGGGGUCGGCCUAUUCUAGGACUUCUAGAGAAAAAUAAUGAGGGGUGUCACGGGAUAUGACUAUAUAGGUCUUGUAGAGGAGAAACAGGCGCUUCUUUUGCGCUAGGUAUCGAAGGGCGCUAUGUUCAAAAAUCUGAAACUAGAGCUCAAAAUUUGAAAAAAAUGUCAAAAAAUUAGGGGGGUCGGCCUAUUCCAGGACUUCUAGAGAAAAAUAUGAGGGGUGUCACGGGGUAUGACUAUAUAGGUCUUGUAGAGGAGAAACAGGCGCUUCUUUUGCGCUAGGUAUCGAAGGGCGCUAUGUUCAAAAAUCUGAAACUAGAGCU